This 355-nucleotide transfer RNA is filed under the name uncultured Microcystis sp. Its description in RNAcentral is "partial 16S-23S ribosomal RNA intergenic spacer". The stretch from base 133 to 206 matches the Rfam family "tRNA". Lineage: Bacteria; Bacillati; Cyanobacteriota; Cyanophyceae; Chroococcales; Microcystaceae. The record is from RNAcentral.
AAGGGAGACCUAAUUCCGGUAGGAGACGAAAAAAAAGUAGUCCCAACCAAGAAUCAAUCCCAAAAGGUCGGAACGAGGUAUGAGGCUUUCAAACUAGGUUCUGGGUUCACACAAGACCUGGAUCAGGAACAAGGGCUAUUAGCUCAGGUGGUUAGAGCGCACCCCUGAUAAGGGUGAGGUCCCUGGUUCGAGUCCAGGAUGGCCCACCUGCACAGGUGGCAAAAACAAAGAAGCGAGGAAUCAGCACCUUAUCUUAUCUAUAUAUAAGAGAGAAUGCUGGCUCUGAGUAAAGAGUCCAGAGGAACCUUGAAAACUGCAUAGAGCUAGGUGAAAAAGCCAAAAAAGAAGACCGCAA